This 162-nucleotide ribosomal RNA is filed under the name Pterostylis williamsonii. RNAcentral describes it as "5.8S ribosomal RNA". It matches the Rfam family "5.8S ribosomal RNA". From Rfam's summary of the family: 5.8S ribosomal RNA (5.8S rRNA) is a component of the large subunit of the eukaryotic ribosome. It is transcribed by RNA polymerase I as part of the 45S precursor that also contains 18S and 28S rRNA. Lineage: Eukaryota; Viridiplantae; Streptophyta; Magnoliopsida; Asparagales; Orchidaceae. RNAcentral also lists the same sequence under 3 other names. The record is from RNAcentral.
UAGGACUCUCGGCAAUGGAUAUCUUGGCUCUUGCAUCGAUGAAGAGCGCAGCGAAAUGCGAUACGUGGUGUGAAUUGCAGAAUCCCGUGAACCAUCGAGUUUUUGAACGCAAGUUGCGCCCGAGGCCGAUUGGCUAAGGGCACGUCCGCCUGGGCGUCAAGC